UGUGGCGUACGGCUCAGUAACACGUAGUCAACCUAGCCUGGAGACGUGGACAACCCCUGGAAACUGGGAUUAAUCCGCGAUAGGUCACUUCAUCUGGAAGGAGAGGUGGCCAAAGGGGCGCUGUGGGCUUCCACUUCGUUCGCUCCAGGAUGGGACUGCGGCCGAUCAGGCUGUUGGCGGGGUAAUGGCCCACCAAACCUGUAACCGGUACGGGCCUUGAGAGAGGGGGCCCGGAGAUGGACACUGAGACAAGGGUCCAGGUCCUACGGGGCGCAGCAGGCGCGAAACCUUCGCAAUGCGCGAAAGCGUGACGAGGUUAAUCCGAGUGGCUUCCGCUGAGGAAGUCUUUUGCCGACUUUAAAAAGGUCGGAGAAUAAGGGGAGGGCAAGUCUGGUGUCAGCCGCCGCGGUAAUACCAGCUCCUCGAGUGGUCGGGGCGAUUAUUGGGCCUAAAGCAUCCGUAGCCGGUUCUGUAGGUUUCCUGCAAAAUCCAAUCGCUCAACGAUUGGCCCGCAGGAAAUACCGCAGGACUAGGAGGCGGGAGAGGUGGACGGUACUCCACGUGUAGGGGUAAAAUCCUUUGAUCCGUGGAAGACCACCAGUGGCGAAGGCGGUCCACCAGAACGCGCUCGACGGUGAGGGAUGAAAGCUGGGGGAGCGAACCGGAUUAGAUACCCGGGUAGUCCCAGCCGUAAACGAUGCGAGCUAGAUGAUCCAGUCGUAAAUCACGACUGGAGUGUCGCAGGGAAGCCGUUAAGCUCGCCGCCUGGGGAAACGGUCGCAAGACUGAAC
Molecule: ribosomal RNA, 791 nt
Filed under: uncultured soil archaeon
Lineage: Archaea
Description: bacterial SSU rRNA
Rfam family: Archaeal small subunit ribosomal RNA
Source: RNAcentral